RNAcentral lists this long non-coding RNA (5343 nucleotides) under Ovis aries (sheep). RNAcentral's name for it is "lncRNA (ENSOARG00000025949.1)". Lineage: Eukaryota; Metazoa; Chordata; Mammalia; Artiodactyla; Bovidae. The record is from RNAcentral.
AUGCUUGCUUGUUUCAUGGAAGGAAAUGGACCCAGGGGUGAGUCAGAGCAGACCCAGGGGUGGAAAACUCUGCCCACUCUUGGGGUUCUUAGGGGUCCAGGGUGCUGCCCUUGGCAGGCAGGGCGAGAUAAAGACACCUGGAUUCCCCAGGGCAGCAGUGGCUACCUGGCCCAGGUCAUCAGGUGGGCCGAUUGUGGGUCAGGAUGGCUGCACAGGGGACCAGUAGGAAGGGGCAAGCGUGUCCUUGUCCUGGGCGAGGGUGGGCCCGCCACCCUCUGGGCUCUCGGAUAUUCCUCAAGGUUUCAGCUGGGAAACUGUCGCCUGCAGUCUGCAAACAUCCCUUCCCGCUCCGCCGUGCCGCCUGCCAAGCGCUGCCAGCCGCCAGCUUGGCUCGCAGUCGGCUCACGCAAGCUGCCCGGCCUGGCACCGGGCUCCCGCCCACCGNNNNNNNNNNNNNNNNNNNNNNNNNNNNNNNNNNNNNNNNNNNNNNNNNNNNNNNNNNNNNNNNNNNNNNNNNNNNNNNNNNNNNNNNNNNNNNNNNNNNGCGGGGGGGGGCGGUCUCCUGGUGCCCUCCGGGCCGGGCAGUCUCACAGCAGGGCUCCAGCCCUCCCGUGUCUCCUACCCUGGGCCCCCCACCCCGUGGCCUCUGCUGCAGUCUCGGGAGCAGUCCGGGACACCCCCCCCUGCCCGCCGCUGGGAGAUACCUCAGGAGGCAUUCCAGAACGCUGGGGGACAAGGCGAGUUUGGGAAGAGUUGAGGAGCCCUAGCAGGAAGCAGGUGUCCCCAAGGCUUGGGGACAGGCUGCCUCUUGAGGUCCGCCCUGUGCCAGGGCCCCAGUCCCGCCCCCACCCCUGGCUGGCCCUGGGUCCCCUCCACCGGCCCCUGGUGGUCAGCCAGGAUCACAAGCUCCUGGGGUUCUCUGGGGUGUCUCUGUGCCCAGGCAGAUGCUAAUGCCAGCACCCACUCUGCCAGAGGAGGGACCACUGCCCCAGGACCCUUCCCAUCCAGAGCCUGGGCUGAGCCCCCCGGGCGAAGGCCCUUCCACAUCCUUUCAGGGAGAGUGCAGCCCCCACGGGCCAGAGGGCCUGGCUGGGUCUCAGUCCUAGUCAGACCCCGGGCUCUCGGGGCUCAGAGACUGGGCCGCGCUCACCCCGCUGCGGCCCAGACUCCACUCAGCCUUGCUGACUGGUCUCCCUAGGCCCUUGGCUGGCAAGAGGGGGCCCCCAGUUUCUGAGCGGCUCCUAGGCCCCCAGGGGUCCCUCGGCAGCUCUCGGGCUCAGACUUCAGGACGAAAUCACACAAUUUAAAAUUAAUCAUCGCACCAUCCCACGGCCUCACAAUUAAGUGACUGUUCAUCCCAAUUAUGUCUGAGAGCGAUUUGUUGUUCUCUGGGCGACAAAAAUCACCUGCUUCAGGCAGGGGCCUGGGGCAGCUCGCACCCCCCAACCUGCACCCGAGGAGGGACCUUGACCUUGGUUCUGAGGUGGCCUUGGGGGGCUGAUGGGCAGAGCAAGGGGUUGGGGGUACUUCAGGGGCUCAGGGAUCAACAAGAGACUGUGCAUGUCUCUGGGCGUGCCCCGACCGUGGGAGCGGGUCAGAGUGACGGGGCUGGGCGAGGAGCUGCAGGGGGUGCAGAUGGGGGGCUGGGGCUUGUUAGUCUUGGCUCUUCCGUUAGGAGCCCCACCUGGUCUCAGUUUCUCCACCAUCAGAAGAGGGGUGACGAUCUUCACCCCCUCCCACCUCCUUGGGGGGGGGGGGCACAGAGGGACUUCUGCCCAGUGGUGGGAGGAGCCAGCGGUGUGUCCCCCAGUGGCCCUGUGGCAUUUCCAGUCGCUGGCCGGGCCCUGGGGGCCCAGGGCCACCUCUCCUGCCCCCGCAGUUCCUCCGUGAGUGUGUCUGGGUGCCUGCUUCCCAGGGCCCCGGGUUUGUGAGCCAGAUCCCUGGGGAGCCGCCCCACAGGGUCCACUGGGGCCCACGCCUCCUGUGUGUGCAACACAGGACAGUUCCCCCCACUGCCAACCAGGAGAGGGUGUGCCCGUUUAUUUGUGUAGGUGGCAGUGAGGAGCUGAACCUGGCUUUCAGAUCUUGGGGAGUCAGGUGACCCCACUUGGGUGCCAAGACAGAGGUUGGGGUUGCUAGCCCCAUGACCUAGGAGGUCACACCCCAACAUCACUCCAGACUCCUAGGGGCCCUGGAAUGGGGGGUCCCUGAGGGCUGACACCAGUCCCCCAGACCCCACCACGCUUCACCGGAGCCAAGGUCAGCAGGUGUCUGAGCCCAUGGCGCGUGCCGCACCUGCUGGUCCAGCCCCAGGCCCAGCACGGCCGUUUUCCUCUGAGCAUUUAAAAAAUUAGGCCAAAACACACAUAAAGAGAUUUUUUUUUUUUUUUUUGCGAGGGAGGAGAAGAUGUGAAAUAAUGAGCUAACAAAAGAAAUUUGGUCCAACAACAUUUUUUAACAAGAAUUGACUUUAAAAUGAUGGUUAUUAACCAUAUUUCCUUUUAGGAGCAGUUAAAACUGCUUCACGAGGUGAGGCAAUUAAUUUUUAAGUUUAUGCUGAACAUUAUAGCACAUGAGCCAUUAACAAGGUGGCGGAAUUAACCUCCCUGCACUUGGCAGAUGGCCGUGGACACUAUCCGGACCAACCCAGCACGGGGCUCCGCCCGGCACCCCAAGAGGGACAGGGGUAGGGGGGUGGCCCAGACUCCCCUGCCACCUCGUGUCCAGCAGCUGGCAGACACAGGGGAGCGCCCAGGGAGAUGUGGGACUCAGUCUGGGGAGGGGUCAGAAGUCAGGGCUGUUUGGAGCUGGGUUGGAGGUCAGAGGUGGGCUGGGGCCCCUACCGAGGUCCUGUAGGCAGCCUGCUGGCCCGGAGUCUGAAAGCCCUGGCCGCUGGGACCCUGGAGAUCCCUGCCCGGCUUCUGGCCCUGGGACCUCCCCAGCUGACGCCCUGGUGCCCAGCGGGAGCCCUUGGAAUUCUCCCUCCCAGGUCCCUAUUUCCAGGGCAGGACUUGGGAGCCAGGUCAAGGUGCCAUGUGGGGGUCAAGGUCACAGCAGGCAAGAUCAACCGCUGCUCCAGGCUGGUCUGAUCCCGAAGCCAGCUCUUCUGCCUGUCUCGGGGCCUCAGUUCCCCGCCAGGGGGUCCUCGCCCACCUCUGCCUGCUGCUCUCAUCUUCCAGGGCAGGGACGCUGCUCCCAGCCCAGCUUCAAGGCCCUGGGGGCCAAGGUGGGGGCCACGUGGAACUUUCCCCAGCCCGCCCCCUUGACGGUGCCCGGCGUUCCCCCUGCAGGCUCCGUGCCCCUAUGCCCUGCAUUCCCUCGGAGGGGGCUGAGCUGGCAGGAGAAGGGGCAUGAACGAGCCUCUCAGGGCAGCACGAACGCAGAAGAUGCCACAGACGUGGUGGCAUCUCAGACCCUGACACCUGUGCUUGAGGCGGCCUCGAAUUCGGGGUCAGCCACAGGCUGACCAAGAGGGCAGCCCGGGGCUGGUGGUCUGGGCCAGGGCACAGGCCUGCUCUGGCCAGGCCUUUGGACACAGGGCCUGGGAGGGAGGGUGCGCCCUCCCCAGGGGAGCAUCGCAGUGGCCCUCAAGCGGUUCUCACCUGCCAGCAUCAGGGGUUCCAGCAUUUCCUGAAACAUGGCCCCUUUAAAUACUAGGCCCCAUUGAACCUUUUUUUUGGGGUGUUGUUGUUGGAAGCUGUUCUAAAAGCUGCCCCCGGUGCCCUGCCUGCUCAGGAAGGUGACUGGGGGGCCCGAGUUCCCAGCUCCAGCUCCAUCUGGGUCCUGCAGCCCCCAGCGCCCCCUGCUUCUCAGCCAGGGGUGGGCGCCAGAGCCAGAGGCCUCACUCAGUCUGAGAAAGCCUCUUGGGUGUGGGCCAUCCAGGCCCCGCUUCCCUGAGUAUCCAGGCCCCUCCUGCCCACCAGGGUGGGUUCAGUUGGGCUGUGCAUACUCAGGACCUGCUUUGACCCCUCGUCCCUCCCGGGGCAGGUGGUGAGGGCAGAGAGGGGGGUCCCGGGGCUGCAGCCCCUGCAUGUCGCCGUGGGCCUCUGCCAACGAGACUCAGAUGGAUCUGAGAGCAGCCCGCGCAGUCUCAUACCUAUAACUUUAAAUUAAAAAAGCCAUGUGCUGUUAUGGGUUCUCCCGGCAGUGCAGCGAGGCAGCCCCAUAAAGAUUAUAUUAUAGUACAAGCCAUUAUGUGCCGAGCCGACUGUAUAUACAUUUCUAAAUGGUUCGGCAAACAGCAGCCUACUUAUGGGCACGAAAGGAGAACUGGUUCAUUUGGGGUAACAAAUGAUCCUUGAUUUGAUUUUAAAUGCAACGACAGCCAAAUUUAUUUCUUAUUUAAUCACUUUCCUGUGCUGUUGAGAGCGGGGUGAUAUUAAACUCUCCAACGCGGAGCAGACUCCGGAAUCAGGCGAAAGAGGCGAGCGAAUAGAUUAUGUUUAUAGGGCAGUGGGAGACCGUGGAGCGAGGCGCAUAACCAGAAUGGGUGUUUUUGUCAUUUAUACAGUAGCUUAGAUCAUGAUUUCUUCCUGCUUCCAAUUUUUCAGUAAUAAAAAUAUAGGCAAUGUGAUUCUCUUUGCAUUACAGAUAAACCAUCUUGAUUCUUUAUUAAAUAUUCUUAGUAAUCUGAAGGACUGCAGAGCGCCGUCACCGGUAAAUCAGGCGGCGAGCCAUCGUCUGCCUCUGCCGUGGGUUCCUGUGCCCACGGUCCGGCUGCCUUCCGUCCCUGCGUUGUGGCCACGUGUACUCGGCAGAAGUGGCACUAAGGGGUAUUUGUUCCUCAAAAUCCGCUCGGUUUGGGUAAUUGCUCCGCAGUCCUCAGUUCUGUACCUUUUGAUUAGGAACCGCUACUCUGGUGUCACCUGCCCGCUUGGACAGGAGGGCCCUUUUGGCCCAUGCUGGGGGCUCGUGGGAGCUGACGGGGGCUGGGGGGGUCUCGGGGGCUCUGGGAGAGGCCUUGGCGCCGGAUGGUUGCCAGCAAGCAUUUGGGGCCCUAGAGACCACAGAGGCCACGUGGGCGCGAGGUGGAGGACAGGCUGAGGGUCAGCUGCAGUGGGCACCCUGGCCCCUAGGGUGGGGACAGCCAGCGUGGGGUCCUCUCGGGAGCAGGGGGCCAGCUCCAGCAGGUCCCCCUUCCUGGGAGGGCUGUCCUCCUGCCAUGGUGGAGGGUAUGGGUGAGAGGGGACAGGCUGUGGUCACUGGUGGGGGCGCUUUCUCGCUGGCAAGUUUGUUUCUCCAGCCUCUGCGGUGGACCCACCCAGAGCUGGGAGGGCCGUCUCCCUGGAAAGCUGUAGGAGGUGGCGGUCCCUUGGCCCCCAGCUAUGUGCCCCACCCCGCCCA